RNAcentral lists this ribosomal RNA (458 nucleotides) under uncultured bacterium. Its description in RNAcentral is "partial 16S ribosomal RNA". It matches the Rfam family "Bacterial small subunit ribosomal RNA", at positions 338 to 795 of the family's 1533-position model. The record is from RNAcentral.
CCUACGGGCGGCUGCAGUGGGGAAUAUUGCACAAUGGGGGAAACCCUGAUGCAGCGACGCCGCGUGAGUGAAGAAGUAAUUCGUUACGUAAAGCUCUAUCAGCAGGGAAGAAACACUGACCUUACGGUCAGCAGACGGUACCUGAGUAAGAAGCACCGGCUAACUACGUGCCAGCAGCCGCGGUAAUACGUAGGGGGCAAGCGUUAUCCGGCUUUACUGGGUGUAAAGGGAGCGUAGACGGUGCGCCAAGUCUGGAGUGAAAUGCCGGAGCUUAACUGCGGAACUGCUUUGGAAACUGGCGAACUAGAGUGCGGGAGGAGUAAGCGGAAUUCCUAGUGAAGCGGUGAAAUGCGUAGAUAUUAGGAGGAACACCGGUGGCGAAGGCGGCUUACUGGACCGUAACUGACGUUGAGGCUCGAAAGCGUGGGGAGCAAACAGGAUUAGAUACCCCUGUAGUC